GGUGGCUCAGUUGGUAGAGUGCUUGCCUUGUAUGCAUGAGGCCUUGGGUUUGAUUCCUCAGCACCA
RNAcentral lists this transfer RNA (66 nucleotides) under Dipodomys ordii (Ord's kangaroo rat). It matches the Rfam family "tRNA". Rfam says of the family: Transfer RNA (tRNA) molecules are approximately 80 nucleotides in length. Lineage: Eukaryota; Metazoa; Chordata; Mammalia; Rodentia; Heteromyidae. The record is from Rfam by way of RNAcentral.